RNAcentral lists this ribosomal RNA (253 nucleotides) under uncultured bacterium. RNAcentral's name for it is "partial 16S ribosomal RNA". It matches the Rfam family "Bacterial small subunit ribosomal RNA", at positions 524 to 776 of the family's 1533-position model. The record is from RNAcentral.
UACGUAGGGGGCGAGCGUUGUCCGGAUUUAUUGGGCGUAAAGAGCGUGUAGGCGGCCAGGUAGGUCUGCUGUGAAAACUCGAGGCUCAACCUCGAGACGUCGGCGGAAACCAUCUGGCUAGAGUCCGGAAGAGGAGAGUGGAAUUCCUGGUGUAGCGGUGAAAUGCGCAGAUAUCAAGAGGAACACCAAUGGCGAAGGCAGCUCGCUGGAACGGAACUGACGCUGAGGCGCGAAAGCGUGGGGAGCGAACAGG